Molecule: long non-coding RNA, 2581 nt
Filed under: Sus scrofa (pig)
Lineage: Eukaryota; Metazoa; Chordata; Mammalia; Artiodactyla; Suidae
Description: lncRNA (ENSSSCG00000061578.1, ENSSSCG00105027962.1)
Source: RNAcentral
CCUUCACUUAGGAUUCUUGGCCCCUUAAUAACUCGAAUUCAGCUUGUGUUAUUCUGUUUGAAAGGCAAGAGGUUGUGUUCCUUAAAUGACUGCAGAUUUUCUAGAGUGAGCUGGGAGGACAGGGUAACAGAUUCCUGAUUGUCUCUCCCCCUCUGAACUGGAGACCUUCAGUUAUAUUUCUCUCAGUACCCUUGGUUGUUUAUUUGGGGGACAGAAUCCUUAAUCUUCAGAGGAUAAUCCAUUCUGCCAUUUUUUUUUUUUUUUCUUUUUCUGACUGCACCUGUGGCAUGUGGAUGUUCCCAGACCAGGGGUCGAAUCAGAGCUGCAGCUGAGGCCUAGGCCAGAGCCACAGCAACACCAGAUCCUUACCCCACUGAGCAAGGCCAGGGAUUGAACUUGAAUCCUCACAGAGACAGCAUUGGGUCCUUACCCUGCUGAGCCACAACGGGAACUCCUAUCAAUUUUAGAAUCAGAAAAAAAUCUAUUUAAAGCAGUGAAUAUUUGCUUUUAAAAAUAUCAAAUAAAAAAAAAUGCAAAGUGGAAAGUGAAAACCCCUCUCCCGGAUGGUGAUUAGGAACAGAUCAAGGGUCAAGGGUGUCUUUUGUCUGCAUUACUUGACAAUAAAGUCACUCUACUUUCUGGUUGAGCCCUAUAUAUAGAUCUGGCUGAGUGGGGACAUCUGUGUCUGAAGAGCUCGGCUUCAGAACAGCUGUGUUCACACAUCUGCUUCUUUGCUAACAUCUAGAAGUAGGGGAUCCCAUAAAAUGAUAUAGAUUCCACUACCCACCCCAAGAGUAAUGUGCUGCUGAAGCCAAGUUUGGGAUGGAAGGAAUGGAGUGGGCUGAAUUAAAAGUCAGGGAUUUGUAGGGGUUCCUGCUGUGGCACAUUGGGCUAAGGAUCUGGUGUUGUCUCUGCACCAGCUCGGGUUCGGAGUCCCAGCCUGGUGCAGUGGGUUAAGGAUCCAGCAGUGCUGCAGCUGUGGCAUAGGGCAUAGCUAUGGCUCAGAUUCCAUCCCUGGCCUGGAAACUUCCAUGUGCCAGGGGUGCAGUUGGGUCUUCGUUGAUGGUUAGGGCCCCUUGAGCUGGGGAGUUUUCUGGAAGGUAUCGGUGCCAUCGCCUUUAUUGUACUGGAAGAGGGCAAGAGCAGAUAGAGGCAGGGACCCAAGUUAGGAGUUGUCUGGAUCAUCCAGGUGAGAGAUGUUGGUGGCCUGGACCAGGACUGGAGGGAGCUCCCAGAAGGUGGAGGAGGUGAUGAGGUACCUACACCUGGUCUCAGAGGGCUUCUGUCUAGUUAAGAACAUAGCCUUGAGCACGCAGUCCCAUAGCGGGUUCUGCACAUGAAGUGUGAAGGAUGAAAAUUUAGUUGCAAAGAUCAAGGAACCUCUCAAGUUGGGGUGGGUGAGUUUCUUCAUUUGAUUGUAAUUCCCAAGGCUUAUAAAAGCCCGCUGUUUGCCCUACAAAGGACCACAAGCACAAGGAAAUACACACUAUGUUCCCUCGUCAUAUUACAAAAAUGCAGAUUGGUGCUGCAUGCAGCAAAAAUUCCAAUCGGAUUGGUUCCUUUGUAGGAUAAUCAAUGGAAUCUUUUGUCUAUUUCUGAGCACAGGAUUCCUUUCCCCUGAGUGGUGGAUUUGGAGUGUUUUUCUCAGAGGAGGAAUGCCUCCCUCGUGUAAUCCAUCCAUCUCCCCCUUUGCAGCGGAGUUCUGAUGAAUGAAUCCUUUGUGCAGCCCUCAGCCGCCUGCUUGUCUCUGCUGGAGAUGAAACAGGUGCAGUCGCCUUUGCUCCAACUCAUCAACUGUUGUCUGAGAUUAUUGGAGGGCUGCAAGGAAGCCUUCAGGGUUUCAUUAUGCUCCAGACGGCUGUCAACCAGUGAGCCAUGAUUCCGACGAGAGAGCUGUGGGGAAGAACAUGGUUUUGGUUGGCAGACCUGGUUUGGUUGAGAUCCAGCAUCCCACCAUGAGCUGUCUUUAGGCACGUUGUCUCCCUGCUCCGGGCCUCGGAUUCAUCUCAUGUAUUAAGAAGACAGUGACACUUUCUGGAUGUGUCCUAUCUCCUGUCUCCAAUGAAAAGCUGAUUCUUUGGUUGCUGGUCAAGUGCAGAUAAAAGAUGAUCAGGGCUGUCACUUUACAGGAGAUUUCACAGUAUGGGGUAUGUGUGUGUGUGUGUGUGUGUGUGUGUGUGUGUGUGUGUGUGCGCGCGCGCGCGCGCUUGGCCAUGGCAUUCGGAAGUUCCUGGGCCAGGAAUUGAACCUGUGCUACAGCAGUGCCAAAUAAACACUUAACAGCAGUGUUGCAAAAUCCUUCACUGCUAGGCCACUGGAACUCUUCAGAAUGUUUUAAAAGCACCUUUUUAUUGUCUUUUAGCCGUGAGGCUAGGACAGAAAAAAAUAUAAAUUAUUCAGAUUAGAGAAAACACGCUCUUAAACAGUAUUCUCAUGGAGAGGCAAGUAUGGUUUGGAGGAUGGGAUGCAAUAAGUAAUCUUGAAUUAGAGAAUAAAAUAAAAUUCCUCUACUGUGUCAGAGUGAGGUGGAAACGAGGCAAAAGAUUGCCCUUUUGCUGGAAAGAGCCCAGCUAGAGUCUUU